Paramuricea clavata is the source of this 1170-nucleotide non-coding RNA. The record is from the annotation of a GenBank genome assembly. NCBI's taxonomy places the organism in Eukaryota, Metazoa, Cnidaria, Anthozoa, Malacalcyonacea, Plexauridae.
CCAUUUUCUAAUAUUUUUUAAGGUAUCAUAUUAAAAAAAAUCGUUCUGUUUCAUUCUUUCAGUGAAUGGUUCAUCGCCAGCUUCCGACAGUCCUUUACCAAGCUAAAGCACAAGAAGAAGAUUUCUUCAUCCGUACUCACUCGCCAUAUCAUUUUCAACGUUUUUAACAAUAUAAGUUAAGACAUUAUAGUCAGUUUUAUAUAGCUCAACUCUUACAGCAGAUCGCUGCAUAUAGUUCGUGCACCCGUAUAUGACCUCACGAGCUUGUGCACUUUACCGUGUGUAAUAUGGCAAAGUAAGGCAUGCAAAUUGUUUAUGUAAUAGCACGCGAUGGCAAUUUCUAGAUUGCACAGUCUUCAGUAUAGGUUCUCACUUGUUUCCAUCUACCAAACUCACGUUACGUCAUUUGAUCAAUUUCUAAAGCUGUUUCUUUUUGGAUUUUUUUUUAUUAAUUUGGUUAGAGUUUGACUUGGUUAGAGUUUGAGGGUAGGGUUUGACUUAGUUACAUAGCCAUUUACAGGUAAACUACGUGAAGCGUUCCUCUUUUGAGUUUCUAAAUUGAUUGCAAUUUUCCUCAUUCCUUUUGCAAUUUAAAGGAACAGGACUGCAUUGCAAAUUCCCUUAAGGGAUUCGCAAAGAGUUUUUCAAAUUUGCAAAGCUAAUGAGGAAAAUUCCAAAUGAGUUACAAAGACAAAAGAGGAACGCUUCACGUAGUUUACCUGUAACAUCUCUUCCGAAAAUGACAUCACAUCAGUUUGGUGGAUGGAAAAUAGUGCUGACCUCUUAGUACUGUAAUAUAGAAGUUCAGAUUUGACUUCUGCUACUAUUAAGAGACCAUCAACCAAUCAGAUGCGUUUGAUAUAUUCGAUUUUUUUAUAUUUUUUUUGUCAGUCAAAUCUAAACCUUUAUGUUACAUGAAUGAUCAAAAGCUUUACCGACGAAUUGGGAAUGAAUGUUAUAUUUUAGGAUUACAAUAUGUAAGCUGAUUCAUGGGAUGUAGCACAAUGUCGAGUGCCAGAUUAUUAAUACGCGAUCUUUAGCAGUAGUUUUUACCAAACAUUUACCGAAUUAAUAUAUUGUCUCUUGAAGGCUGGCUUCUAUUGACAUUGUAAUAUAGUAUUAUUUAUUGUGCAUAUGGGGCAGGCUUUUUGUAUCCGCUGGAAAUUCUGG